GCCUAUGAAAACCGACCGAGUUCGUUGUGAUCUCGCGAAAACAACAAGUUGGGUUGUAAACUUGUAAAACAACCGGCUGUAAUCCAAAGGAUUAUAGUGAACUCCCAAGUGAAGCUUGGGGAGUGGACGUAGGAGCAGAGUUGGCUCCGAACCACUAUAAAAUCUUCUUGUGUUUGCAUUGGCUAUUUGUCUCUUCCAAUCUCCUCAUCAAGAAGCUUAAUU
RNAcentral lists this long non-coding RNA (222 nucleotides) under Phoenix dactylifera (date palm). RNAcentral describes it as "long non-coding RNA (PDAC_LNC016477)". The record is from RNAcentral. Lineage: Eukaryota; Viridiplantae; Streptophyta; Magnoliopsida; Arecales; Arecaceae.